AGAUUAAGUUAUUAAGGGCGCACGGUGGAUGCCUUGGCACUAGAAGCCGAUGAAGGACGUUACUAACGACGAUAUGCUUUGGGGAGCUGUAAGUAAGCUUUGAUCCAGAGAUUUCCGAAUGGGGAAACCCAGCAUGAGUUAUGUCAUGUUAUCGAUAUGUGAAUACAUAGCAUAUCAGAAGGCACACCCGGAGAACUGAAACAUCUUAGUACCCGGAGGAAGAGAAAGAAAAUUCGAUUCCCUUAGUAGCGGCGAGCGAAACGGGAAGAGCCCAAACCAACAAGCUUGCUUGUUGGGGUUGUAGGACACUCUAUACGGAGUUACAAAGGACGACAUUAGACGAAUCAUCUGGAAAGAUGAAUCAAAGAAGGUAAUAAUCCUGUAGUCGAAAAUGUUGUCUCUCUUGAGUGGAUCCUGAGUACGACGGAGCACGUGAAAUUCCGUCGGAAUCUGGGAGGACCAUCUCCUAAGGCUAAAUACUCUCUAGUGACCGAUAGUGAACCAGUACCGUGAGGGAAAGGUGAAAAGCACCCCGGAAGGGGAGUGAAAUAGAACCUGAAACCGUGUGCUUACAAGUAGUCAGAGCCCGUUAAUGGGUGAUGGCGUGCCUUUUGUAGAAUGAACCGGCGAGUUACGAUUUGAUGCAAGGUUAAGCAGUAAAUGUGGAGCCGUAGCGAAAGCGAGUCUGAAUAGGGCGUUUAGUAUUUGGUCGUAGACCCGAAACCAGGUGAUCUACCCUUGGUCAGGUUGAAGUUCAGGUAACACUGAAUGGAGGACCGAACCGACUUACGUUGAAAAGUGAGCGGAUGAACUGAGGGUAGCGGAGAAAUUCCAAUCGAACCUGGAGAUAGCUGGUUCUCUCCGAAAUAGCUUUAGGGCUAGCCUCAAGUGAUGAUUAUUGGAGGUAGAGCACUGUUUGGACGAGGGGCCCCUCUCGGGUUACCGAAUUCAGACAAACUCCGAAUGCCAAUUAAUUUAACUUGGGAGUCAGAACAUGGGUGAUAAGGUCCGUGUUCGAAAGGGAAACAGCCCAGACCACCAGCUAAGGUCCCAAAAUAUAUGUUAAGUGGAAAAGGAUGUGGCGUUGCCCAGACAACUAGGAUGUUGGCUUAGAAGCAGCCAUCAUUUAAAGAGUGCGUAAUAGCUCACUAGUCGAGUGACACUGCGCCGAAAAUGUACCGGGGCUAAACAUAUUACCGAAGCUGUGGAUUGUCCUUUGGACAAUGGUAGGAGAGCGUUCUAAGGGCGUUGAAGCAUGAUCGUAAGGACAUGUGGAGCGCUUAGAAGUGAGAAUGCCGGUGUGAGUAGCGAAAGACGGGUGAGAAUCCCGUCCACCGAUUGACUAAGGUUUCCAGAGGAAGGCUCGUCCGCUCUGGGUUAGUCGGGUCCUAAGCUGAGGCCGACAGGCGUAGGCGAUGGAUAACAGGUUGAUAUUCCUGUACCACCUAUAAUCGUUUUAAUCGAUGGGGGGACGCAGUAGGAUAGGCGAAGCGUGCGAUUGGAUUGCACGUCUAAGCAGUAAGGCUGAGUAUUAGGCAAAUCCGGUACUCGUUAAGGCUGAGCUGUGAUGGGGAGGAGACAUUGUGUCUUCGAGUCGUUGAUUUCACACUGCCGAGAAAAGCCUCUAGAUAGAAAAUAGGUGCCCGUACCGCAAACCGACACAGGUAGUCAAGAUGAGAAUUCUAAGGUGAGCGAGCGAACUCUCGUUAAGGAACUCGGCAAAAUGACCCCGUAACUUCGGGAGAAGGGGUGCUCUUUAGGGUUAACGCCCAGAAGAGCCGCAGUGAAUAGGCCCAAGCGACUGUUUAUCAAAAACACAGGUCUCUGCUAAACCGUAAGGUGAUGUAUAGGGGCUGACGCCUGCCCGGUGCUGGAAGGUUAAGAGGAGUGGUUAGCUUCUGCGAAGCUACGAAUCGAAGCCCCAGUAAACGGCGGCCGUAACUAUAACGGUCCUAAGGUAGCGAAAUUCCUUGUCGGGUAAGUUCCGACCCGCACGAAAGGCGUAACGAUUUGGGCACUGUCUCAACGAGAGACUCGGUGAAAUCAUAGUACCUGUGAAGAUGCAGGUUACCCGCGACAGGACGGAAAGACCCCGUGGAGCUUUACUGUAGCCUGAUAUUGAAAUUCGGCACAGCUUGUACAGGAUAGGUAGGAGCCUUUGAAACGUGAGCGCUAGCUUACGUGGAGGCGCUGGUGGGAUACUACCCUAGCUGUGUUGGCUUUCUAACCCGCACCACUUAUCGUGGUGGGAGACAGUGUCAGGCGGGCAGUUUGACUGGGGCGGUCGCCUCCUAAAAGGUAACGGAGGCGCUCAAAGGUUCCCUCAGAAUGGUUGGAAAUCAUUCAUAGAGUGUAAAGGCAUAAGGGAGCUUGACUGCGAGACCUACAAGUCGAGCAGGGUCGAAAGACGGACUUAGUGAUCCGGUGGUUCCGCAUGGAAGGGCCAUCGCUCAACGGAUAAAAGCUACCCCGGGGAUAACAGGCUUAUCUCCCCCAAGAGUUCACAUCGACGGGGAGGUUUGGCACCUCGAUGUCGGCUCAUCGCAUCCUGGGGCUGUAGUCGGUCCCAAGGGUUGGGCUGUUCGCCCAUUAAAGCGGUACGCGAGCUGGGUUCAGAACGUCGUGAGACAGUUCGGUCCCUAUCCGUCGUGGGCGUAGGAAAUUUGAGAGGAGCUGUCCUUAGUACGAGAGGACCGGGAUGGACAUACCUCUGGUGUACCAGUUGUCGUGCCAACGGCAUAGCUGGGUAGCUAUGUGUGGACGGGAUAAGUGCUGAAAGCAUCUAAGCAUGAAGCCCCCCUCAAGAUGAGAUUUCCCAACUUCGGUUAUAAGAUCCCUCAAAGAUGAUGAGGUUAAUAGGUUCGAGGUGGAAGCAUGGUGACAUGUGGAGCUGACGAAUACUAAUCGAUCGAAGACUUAAUCAAAUU
Molecule: ribosomal RNA, 2927 nt
Filed under: Staphylococcus aureus
Lineage: Bacteria; Bacillati; Bacillota; Bacilli; Caryophanales; Staphylococcaceae
Description: 23S ribosomal RNA
Rfam family: Bacterial large subunit ribosomal RNA
Source: RNAcentral